GAAGUAAAAGUCGUAACAAGGUUUCCGUAGGUGAACCUGCGGAAGGAUCAUUAUCGAAUUAUAAGCGAGGGUUGUAGCUGGCCUCCCUUUCGAGGCAUGUGCACGCCUGAGCUCUUAAAUCCACAACACACCUGUGAACCCACCGUAGGCCUUCGGGCUUAUGUAUCAUAUACUCUGAAUGUGUCAUAGAAUGUUCAUGUUGCCUUAAAACGCAAUCAAAUACAACUUUCAACAACGGAUCUCUUGGCUCUCGCAUCGAUGAAGAACGCAGCGAAAUGCGAUAAGUAAUGUGAAUUGCAGAUUUUCAGUGAAUCAUCGAAUCUUUGAACGCACCUUGCGCUCCUUGGUAUUCCGAGGAGCAUGCCUGUUUGAGUGUCAUUAAAUCCUCAACCCCACCGAUUUGCUUCGGGGGGAUUGGACUUGGAGCGUGCUGGCGAAGGUCGGCUCCUCUUUAAAUGCAUCAGCGGAGAAGAAAGCUCGUCCCAGUGUGAUAAUCCUGUUGCGCUGUGGUGGGGUGAAAAUUCUGCUUCCAACCGUCCUCCGGGACAAGACAUCUCAAUUUGACCUCAAAUCAGGUAGGACUACCCGCUGAACUUAAGCAU
This 602-nucleotide ribosomal RNA is filed under the name Amphinema aff. byssoides UC2023120. RNAcentral's name for it is "eukaryotic LSU rRNA". The stretch from base 224 to 378 matches the Rfam family "5.8S ribosomal RNA". Lineage: Eukaryota; Fungi; Basidiomycota; Agaricomycetes; Atheliales; Atheliaceae. The record is from RNAcentral.